Long non-coding RNA from Lepisosteus oculatus (spotted gar), 2160 nucleotides. The record is from Ensembl. NCBI's taxonomy places the organism in Eukaryota, Metazoa, Chordata, Actinopteri, Semionotiformes, Lepisosteidae.
UAAAAAUCCUACAGUCGUGGAGGCAGGCAGACCAAAUGAUCGGAAUAAGAACCUAGAGAGGCUGGCCUCAGGCGGUCGAAGGAAAUAAAAGACAAGAUCUAAUCGCAACAACCAAACACAAGGUCUCAUCACAAAACAUAUUCCCUCCAAUCCGGGACCCGGAAGCAGUCAAUUAGCCGGGUCCGGGACACAGAAGAUACUGAAGUACAGAAAUGAUCCUGAAGCUAAGGCCUCAGCCCUCAGCCUCGACUUUGAACAAUGGCACUGACACCAGAAGUGUGAAAGACAAGGGGAUGUGGCUGGAGGCUCUAUUUUUAGGAACACGGGUCUUGAGACAACAGUGCGCUGUCAUCCUGGAGCUGAGGCGGGUGACAUUGCACGUGACAUCGCAUAAACAGCACACUCUUCAUCCACAACAAUUCAAAGGUUUUGAAAACAAACUGAAAUGGCAGGAAGAAGUCUCCAGUUUUCUCUGGAAUCCUGCCUUCUCUGUUUGCAAACUUCCACAUUUUAUUCCGACAGCACAACACAUGACCCAGAAUUUGGCAAAGGACGAAAAGAAAAGCCCAGAAAAAAACAGAACAAAAAAGGACCAAGUACUGAUGACUUCAUUUUCUGAACUGAGAUCGCACUGCUGCAGUUCAGACAUGCUUGAGAGGGAGCCUGGCAUGUCUUUAACACCACAGUCAUCACAGAUCUCACCACAGUCAGGAGCUACACAGCACCUACUUGGCCUCAGCAGUGCCAAAACUGCCAUGAGCCAUGUCUUAUCAAAUUCCACCAUAUCAUUCCUGCAAACUACACAGUUCCCAAAGUGUAUAACAAAAUUAGAGAGUAUAUAGUAUAGAGAGUAAGAAACAAAAACAAUCUUACAGAAGGAAUCAAAAUGACCAGGCUUGUACAAUAACAAAGAUCAUAGGCCCAAUCACUCUUGAUUUCCAGUUUCCCAACUUUUACUCCUGAUUGAAUUUAUAUGGUAUGUCAAGUGAAAAAAAAAAAAAUCACAAUAUAUACAUAAUACCACAAGGCUAAACACAAGCUAGGAUCUGGAGCUGACAUACAGAAUUGCUGGAUUGCAAAAAGCAGUGAAAAAACAAUGGCAGUGCAGCUCUUUGCAAAGCUAAGUAUUAAUUAAUGUAUGUUUGCAUUGUCUGGGCUGCAUAUCUUUAAGUUUAUUGACAUGAAAAUAUAUAAUUUCUUACUCAAAGCACUCUAAAAGCUUAUCGGAGCACAGUCGAAGAAAUUCAACUCAAUCCAGCACGUAAAUAAUUCUUGUCAUAUCUCAGAUGGAGAAGCAACUGGGAACACAAACUAAUGUUAUGCUAAUCCUAUAACGUGAUUAUCCAAAAGAUGCUCCUCAAUGACCCAGAUGUCAACCAACCAUUUUGCACUGGUGCUGUGAAGGAAGGCAGACUGUAAACUGACACAAUCUGCAGUGUGUUGUUAUACUGUGCUGCAGUGCCUGGUGUCAUCCUGAAGAUUGGUGUCUAUGUAUCAAUGUGAUAAACUGUGGUCAUACUGUGAUAACACAGCUGAUCAGCACUGAUAAUUUGAACAUAAAGUAUUAAACUAAACCAGCAGAUCCAGGCUCUUGACCUCCAUUAUUUAAAACAUCUCUCUGACACUGCAGUGAAUCACCCUUUUCCAUAACGUAAGUGUUAAUUACAUGAUGAUGUUUUCAGUCCUCCCGCAGUCGCAGAAGAACAUGAAAAUGUGCUUUUGACUGAGAGACACAAUUAUGUGAUUUACUACUUUAACAGAAUAUUCCCUAUAGCUAUACAGCUGCAUAACUUCACAUGAAGUAGACAACAUCAGAAUCAUGCCUUUAUCAAGGGAGUAAACUGCCUCUGUUUUAAAGGUCUAACGACAGAAUGUAAUAGGCUAGAUCAAUACAACCUGUUUUUUUUUUUCAGACCAUUAAAGCUUUGCUGCAGUUAGUCCUUAGUACAAAUGAUAUUCAGCACCUGGUUUCAAUUCAACCUAGCAUUAAGGUCUAAUUCAGUAAUUAAUGUAUUGGAACGAUCAAAAUCCUGUAAUGGAUUUUGUUCAAAGAGUUGUCAGGUUUUCACAGUAAAGAGCAAGAGAUUCCCUCUCCUGAACAGCACUGAACCACUUAAAAUUUUCUUAAUAAAACCCAGGAACUUGCAUUGUGCAGUAAAG